CUGCUCUACUCUACACUCACGACUGUGGUGAAACACAGCUCAAACACCAUCCAUAUAUUCACUGGUGACACUGCCACUGUAAUGGGGAGGCUGAGGAGUGAAUAACAACAACCUCACAAUCAUCAUCAGCAAGAUCAAGAAAUCAAUUAUGGAGACACCAGAGGUUCUACUUAUUUUGAGGAGAUUUGAGGCAGAAAUGAGGAUCCUGAAGCACACAUGGGACACGGUAGAGACUAUGGCCAAGAAAAGACAGAGGCAGAGGACCUCCAUUGGAGCUCUGUGUGCCAGUGGCAUAACGGAUAGUAAGUAAGUAAAGAAAUGCACCCUGCUUGGUGUGACAGCUCCUUUGCAUGGGACUGUACGAAUCUGCAGAGAAUUGUGGACACAGCUCAGCACAUGGAAACCAGUUUCUCUUUCAUGGACCCUGUCUACACUUCUUGCGGCCUCAGUAAAGCAACAAACAUAAUCAAAGGCCCCUCCCACCAUGCAUAUUAUCUCUGCUUCUCCUCCCAUUGGGCAGAAGAUACAAAAGCCUGAAAGCAUGUACCUCCAGGCUCGAGGACAGCUUCUGUUGCAAGACUUUUGAACAUAGAACAUAGAAUAGUAUGGAACAUUACAGGCCCUUCGGCCCACAAUGUUGUGCCAACCCUCAAACCCUGCCUCCCAUAUAACCCCCCACCUUAAAUUCCUCCAUAUACCUGUCUAGUAAUCUCUUAAACUUCACUAGUGUAUCUGUCUCCACCACUGACUCAGACAGUGCAUUCCACGCAUCAACCACUCUCUGAGUGAAAAACCUUCCUCUCAUAUCCCCCUUGAACUUCCCACCCCUUACCUUAAAGCCAUGUCCUCUUGUGUUGAGCAGUAGUGCCCUGGGGAAGAGGCGCUGGCUAUCCACUCUAUCUAUUCCUCUUAUUAUCUUGUACACCUCUAUCAUGUCUCCUCUCAUCCUCCUUCUCUCCAAAGAGUAAAGCCCUAGCUCCCUUAAUCUCUAAUCAUAAUGCAUACUUUCUAAACCAGGCAGCACCCUGGUAAAUCUCCUCUGUACCCUUUCCAAUGCUUCCACAUCCUUCCCAUAGUGAGGAGACCAGAAAUGGACACAGUACUCCAAGUGUGGCCUAACCAGAGUUUUAUAGAGCUGCAUCAUUACAUCGCCACUCUUAAACUCUAUCCCUCAUGAAAGCUAACACCCCAUAAGCUUUCUUAACUACCCUAUCCACCUGUGAGGCAACUUUCAGGGAUCUGUGGACAUGUACCCUGAGAUCCCUCUGCUCCUCCACACUACUAAGUAUCCUGCCAUUUACUUUGUACUCUGCCUUGGAGUUUGUCCUUCCAAAGUGUACCACCUCACAUUUCUCCGGGUUGAACUCCAUCUGCCACUUCUCAGUCCACUUCUGCAUCCUAUCAAUGUCUCUCUGCAAUCUUCGACAAUCCUCUACACUAUCUACAACACCACCAACCUUUGUGUCAUCUGCAAACUUGCCAACCCACCCUUCUACCCCAAAUCCAGGUCGUUAGUAAAAAUCACGAAAAGUAGAGGUCCCAGAAUAGUUUCCUAGUAUGAUAAGGUGGACUCUUGACCUCACCGUCUGCCUUGUUUUGAUACUGCAUUUUAUUUUCUACCUGCACUACACUUUCUCUGUAGCUGUUACACUUUAUGUAGCGUUCUUAUAUUGUUUACCUUGUACUACCUC
Mobula hypostoma (lesser devil ray) is the source of this 1691-nucleotide long non-coding RNA. RefSeq lists it as uncharacterized. Lineage: Eukaryota; Metazoa; Chordata; Chondrichthyes; Myliobatiformes; Myliobatidae. The transcript has 3 exons. The record is from RefSeq and is a predicted model, not a curated record.